This 479-nucleotide ribosomal RNA is filed under the name uncultured bacterium. RNAcentral's name for it is "SSU rRNA". It matches the Rfam family "Bacterial small subunit ribosomal RNA", at positions 26 to 523 of the family's 1533-position model. The record is from RNAcentral.
AGGACGAACGCUGGCGGCGCGCCUAAUACAUGCAAGUCGAGCGAGAACCAGGACUUCGGUCCUGGGGAGAGCGGCGAACGGGUGCGUAUCACGUGAGCAACCUGCCUCGGAGACCGGAAUAACUCGAGGAAACUCGGGCUAAUGCCGGAUGCCCUCGGUGGACCGCAUGGUCCGGCGAGGAAAUGGAUUCCGCUCCGAGAUGGGCUCGCGGCCUAUCAGCUUGUUGGUGGGUAACGGCCUACCAAGGCAACGACGGGUAGCUGGUCUGAGAGGACGAUCAGCCACACUGGGACUGAGACACGGCCCAGACUCCUACGGGAGGCAGCAGUAGGGAAUCUUGCGCAAUGGGGGAAACCCUGACGCAGCGACGCCGCGUGCGGGAUGAAGGCCUUCGGGUCGUAAACCGCUUUCAGCAGGGACGAAAUUGACGGUACCUGCAGAAGAAGGCCCGGCCAACUACGCGCCAGCAGCCGCGGUAA